Non-coding RNA from Malus domestica (apple), 163 nucleotides. The record is from RefSeq and is a predicted model, not a curated record. Lineage: Eukaryota; Viridiplantae; Streptophyta; Magnoliopsida; Rosales; Rosaceae.
GAUAGGGACCGUUUGCUCGGUGAAGUUGAAAAUCUUUAUGCUGGUGAUGGACAACCACAAAAGUUUCAAGAUGUUCAUACCCAGAAGUUAAAGGCACUUGAGGGACAGAUUUUGGAUCUUAAGAAGAAACAAGAGAGCCAGGUUCAACUUUUGAAGCAAAAAC